UGAAUAGCUCAGCCAUGAACAUGAGACUCUUAAUCUCAGGGUUCUGGGUUUGAGCCCCAUGUUGGGCAA
Non-coding RNA from Podarcis lilfordi (Lilford's wall lizard), 69 nucleotides. Lineage: Eukaryota; Metazoa; Chordata; Lepidosauria; Squamata; Lacertidae. The record is from the annotation of a GenBank genome assembly.